Molecule: long non-coding RNA, 3513 nt
Organism: Brassica napus (rape)
Lineage: Eukaryota; Viridiplantae; Streptophyta; Magnoliopsida; Brassicales; Brassicaceae
Exons: 2
Source: RefSeq, a predicted model, not a curated record
AACACCUGAUAUGUACAAAUGCAAUGAUAUGCAACCUAAAUGUGCCUAAAUGAUGCUCUAAAUGACCAAAACAUGCAAGAAUAAGAAGUUAAAAACAUGUAAAUUCACAAGAUAUCAAGUAUAGAAUCUUUUUAGUUGCUGCUCAAGCAGCUACUGUGAAAUCUAGUUCUUGUAAAGUCAUCAUCUUUGAAAAUUGAUAUAAAGUGAUCCUGGUGUUACACGUCCCCGUAAAAAGUUGACUUAACCUUAUACUCGUGAAGCUAUCUUUGUUUAAUACCUAGCUUGAUGCAUUUCACACAUAACUUUGUUUUUCGUAUCAUUGAUGGUUCGUGGUCUCUCUAUAUUAAGUUUGAUCAUGAUCAUAUGAAUCACUGUUCGUCUGAUUUUGGUGUUUUUACACUCUGCAGACAAUUCAUAUCUGGGGGAGUUCUGAGGAUUGGAAGUAUGCAUGUAGACAUAUAUUGAAAGAUCACUCUGCAGACGUAAGCAUGAAAUUGAAGAACUUAGGCGACAGUCGCAUACAAUUUUACCUGUAGUACUACAUUUGUUCUGUUAUAACGUAAAAACAAUGAUGUCUUCUCAGGUGCGAGCUGUCACUGUCCAUGCAACGAAUAAAUACUUUGUGUCUGCAUCGCUUGACAGUUCGUGGUGCUUCUAUGAUAUGUCCUCCGGUUUAUGCUUUGCCCAGGUUCGCAAGAAGAUGGGUUUGUUCUUGUUGAUGUUUCAUCUUCAAGGUAUCAUGGAGAAAGGCUCUUCUACAGUUUGCAUCUUGAAAUGGGAAACAUAAAUAAUCAUGAACUGACGUGCGAAGAGAUAAGCCAGAGAAUGUUAUACUUGUAUUAGGAAUGUGGAAACUCGUUUAGAUGAUAAUAUGUUCUUGUUUCUUUUAGUUAUGUCAUCCAUUUCUAUUUAAUUUUUUUCAAAAUUUUUGUCUCUCGGAUCUGAUACUUUUUCUGGCGGCGGUGCUCUUACAUGUGCUGUGAGAAGGCCUCUAUGAGUCCUCUUUACUUUCAAUCGAUCUUCUGUAGUUUUAAGGUCUUCGACUGUACUGGAAGGUGAUGGAACUUCUCUCAAUGGUGAUAUGGUGUGGUUGAGCGACAGUUGGUUUCUGCCUUGUUACCAGUGAGGUCGAGGUUGUCGUCAGGGCGUGAUCUAUCCGCCUGUGGACGAUGGUGAAUCUAACUGUCCGGUGGGGUUUGAGUCCGGCUCGGUGGUUCCGCGUCCAGCGGGGUCUCUGUUUUCAUCACUUAGUUGAAUUUGUCUUUGAUUGGCAUAUCCUGCAUCAAUGUUGAAGAACUGGGUGCAGGGACCAGUCGCUUGUCGCAGUUCCAGUCUUUUCUCAGAUUGGGCUUCUUAGUUUUAUGUGUUCUGCAAAUUUAGUAUAUUUGCAUUAUAGUAGAGUUAUUUUAGUCAUGAUAGUAACUCACUUUGAUCAAAAAAAAAGAUGGUAACUCACUUAUUCAUUAUGUGUUCUACAAUUUUAGUACAUAUGUAGAAACAGUUUCCCUUAAUCGACUUAUAAGGUACACUAAUUGUGGUUCUUGUGCUAAUAUCUUGUUCUUUCUCAGUUCACUUCUGGCUUUUCAUAUUUUUGAUUUCUUUUAGAAAAAGAAUGUUAUCGGCAUUGCUAAGUUAGAUGUUGUCUCCUAAAAUGUGGAAGAAAAGUGAGAAUCAGUUCAGGGUGCAAAGACAGAAGAACAUACCGCAAGAUCUGAAUCUCGGAGACUGUGGGUUUAUACACUUUGAAGUAUAUUGACUGUUUAACGGCUUGAACGACGAUAUUAUUCCAGUUCUACAUCUGCAGAUGGCUGUAGAAAUCUACGAGGAGGUUCCUUAAGUUUGCUAAGUAGUAUGUAUGUUGUUUUUAAAACUGCUUAUGUAGGUUUUUGUUGCUUUUUUAUAUUGGAUGUACAAGUAUUCCAGUACGCAAGCUGAUGUUCUUUUAGUUGGAUUAUUGUAUACCGUGAGUGCUGUUACUCCAACUCUUAUAAUUUCAUCAAGAAUCUCAUACAAAUUUUUUUAUUUACUUUGCCUCUAGUAACACUAUUUAUAGAAGCAUAUUUGUAGUGACAAAAUAAUUGUGGACUAAGUUAAAUCCAGACCUUAUGCGCUACGUGAGACAAUUCUAAAUAUAUACAUAUACACAAAAAGACGUCAAACGAAAGAACUUAGAGCGGUUGAUACUUCAUAAUUUGAUACCUAAUUUUGAUCUUAAUUAACCUAAAAAUAAACCAAAUUCAAAAUUAAUGUAAACCCGGUUGAAAUUGAAUAUUAAAUUAAGUUUGGUUUAUAUAAACCCAGAUUUCUGUCAAUAAAUCUGUCACAACAUAAAUUAAAAGUCUGCCACCAUAUAAAAUAAAAAGUCUGCCAACACUUUUAAAUCAGACAUAUAACUCUGUCAUAAGAAAAUAAGUCUAACAGAAAAAAAAUAAAUCGGUACAUAAAAAAAAUAAAUCGCCCACAAAAAUCUAUCAUUUAUAACAAAUCUGCUACCUGUCACUAGACAUAUCUUAGUGACAGUAUCUUUAAAAAUCUGUUAUCCAUUUAAAUCGGAUAAUUAACUCUGUAGUGAAAACAAAUCUGACGUUUCUAAAAAUAUCUUACACCAAAUUUCCAAAAAAAAAACGCUCUGGGAGAUGGCGAUAGAAUAAGCGAUCUAGGGUUUCACGCUCUUGAUGCCUUCUCACCGAUGGGAUCCAGGAAUUGACGGCGGGGUUGUGUUAGGAAAGAGGAAUCAUAAAGGGCGGAGUAAAGGAAUUUCAUUCAGGGGAUCUUCUUCAAAUCUCCGAUGUUGUGGAUCGGGUACAGGAAAUUGGUUAAACGGAUUUUUUGGAAAUCAAGGACAUCUGCGAAAUGGAUCUCGAUAUUGGCAAUUAUACCGGUGAAUUCGCAUGAUUACUCAGAUAUGGAGAUUGGUGAUUUGCGGUGGCUUAACAGGGACUGGGGGCUUGGAGUGGUUAACAGGGAAAUGGGUUCUCUGGUUGGUCUCAUUAAACCAACCACAGAAAACAGAGUUAAUCAUAGAAACGGACCUUCAGGGGAAUCACAUUUUGGCUGGAGCUGAUGUAAGGAGGCUUAUCUGGCACGUCUAGGAGUUCGGCGUUUUUUCUAGAAUUGCAUCACUGCUGCUCGUUUUUCUUAAAAAUACAAAUUCAAGGAGCCAAGGAUCUUUGGAAGGGAUAUGUGGCGUGGAAAGGAGAGAGAGAGCUCACGUUUUUUUAUUCUAGUUUUGUUAGCAAAUGAUCGUGUUGGUGAUAUUGGGUUGAGUAUGUUUAUGUUUUCGGGGUAUUGGAGUUAUAUAGGAGACGCUUUCAUUUUUCUUGUGUGUAUGUUACCGUUUUAUAUAGAUUGGGGCAAGGAGAUGGAUGUAUUUUUCAGGGUCUUUGUUGGGAUAUGGGAAUCUUUGGAUUGGAGGGUACGUAACAUAUACGUAAGGAAUGGAACUUCUCACCCAUGUUGAUAGCUCAGAGGGAGGAAUUUUCUUUUCUAUUACAAGUAGUUAUAUUUUCUGCA